GAUGAACGCUGGCGGCGUGCUUAACACAUGCAAGUCGAACGAAGCACUUUAUUUGAUUUCCUUCGGGACUGAUUAUUUUGUGACUGAGUGGCGGACGGGUGAGUAACGCGUGGGUAACCUGCCUUGUACAGGGGGAUAACAGUUGGAAACGGCUGCUAAUACCGCAUAAGCGCACAGCAUCGCAUGAUGCAGUGUGAAAAACUCCGGUGGUAUAAGAUGGACCCGCGUUGGAUUAGCUAGUUGGUGAGGUAACGGCCCACCAAGGCGACGAUCCAUAGCCGACCUGAGAGGGUGACCGGCCACAUUGGGACUGAGACACGGCCCAAACUCCUACGGGAGGCAGCAGUGGGGAAUAUUGCACAAUGGGCGAAAGCCUGAUGCAGCGACGCCGCGUGAGCGAAGAAGUAUUUCGGUAUGUAAAGCUCUAUCAGCAGGGGAGAUAAUGACGGUACCUGACUAAGAAGCACCGGCU
This 472-nucleotide ribosomal RNA is filed under the name uncultured bacterium. RNAcentral describes it as "bacterial SSU rRNA". It matches the Rfam family "Bacterial small subunit ribosomal RNA", at positions 28 to 498 of the family's 1533-position model. The record is from RNAcentral.